Molecule: ribosomal RNA, 321 nt
Filed under: uncultured fungus
Lineage: Eukaryota; Fungi
Description: SSU rRNA
Rfam family: Eukaryotic small subunit ribosomal RNA
Source: RNAcentral
UGCUUGUCUCAAAGAUUAAGCCAUGCAUGUCUAAGUAUAAGCACUUUAUACUGUGAAACUGCGAAUGGCUCAUUAAAUCAGUUAUCGUUUAUUUGAUAGUACCUUACUACAUGGAUACCUGUGGUAAUUCUAGAGCUAAUACAUGCUAAAAACCCCGACUUCAGGAAGGGGUGUAUUUAUUAGAUAAAAAACCAACGCCCUUCGGGGCUCCUUGGUGAAUCAUAAUAACUUAACGAAUCGCAUGGCCUUGCGCCGGCGAUGGUUCAUUCAAAUUUCUGCCCUAUCAACUUUCGAUGGUAGGAUAGUGGCCUACCAUGGUGG